AGUAAUACAUAAGUAACCUGCCCUAGACAGGGGGAUAACUAUUGGAAACGAUAGCUAAGACCGCAUAGGUACGGACACUGCAUGGUGACCGUAUUAAAAGUGCCUCAAAGCACUGGUAGAGGAUGGACUUAUGGCGCAUUAGCUGGUUGGCGGGGUAACGGCCCACCAAGGCGACGAUGCGUAGCCGACCUGAGAGGGUGACCGGCCACACUGGGACUGAGACACGGACCAA
This 232-nucleotide ribosomal RNA is filed under the name uncultured bacterium. RNAcentral describes it as "partial 16S ribosomal RNA". It matches the Rfam family "Bacterial small subunit ribosomal RNA", at positions 109 to 334 of the family's 1533-position model. The record is from RNAcentral.